UUACUGAUUUGCUUAAUUGCACCACAUGUGUUUUUUACUGGACAGCUGCUUUGGCGGUGGGGACUCGUUUCCGCCGCCAGAGGUCACAACUAAACCAAACUUUUUAUUACCAGUCAACCAUACGUUUUAAUAGUCAAAACUUUCAACAACGGAUCUCUUGGUUCUCGCAUC
This 171-nucleotide unclassified non-coding RNA is filed under the name uncultured Candida. RNAcentral's name for it is "sequence contains ITS1". Lineage: Eukaryota; Fungi; Ascomycota; Saccharomycetes; Saccharomycetales. The record is from RNAcentral.